RNAcentral lists this RNase P RNA (376 nucleotides) under Candidatus Omnitrophota bacterium. RNAcentral describes it as "Candidatus Omnitrophica bacterium RNase P RNA component class A". It matches the Rfam family "Bacterial RNase P class A". Rfam says of the family: Ribonuclease P (RNase P) is a ubiquitous endoribonuclease, found in archaea, bacteria and eukarya as well as chloroplasts and mitochondria. Its best characterised activity is the generation of mature 5'-ends of tRNAs by cleaving the 5'-leader elements of precursor-tRNAs. Lineage: Bacteria; Pseudomonadati; Candidatus Omnitrophota. The record is from RNAcentral.
GUGCUUUUUCGGAUGACCGCUCCUUAAAGGAGAGGAAAGUCCGUGCUUCCAAGGACAGCCGUAGUGGGUAACGCCCAUCUUCCGUAAUACGCUGAAGGUGCAAAUCAUCGGCGGAAAGCGGAACGGAUCAGAGCCACAGAGACGAGUCUUUUUGAGGGUAAACCCUCGAAAAGGGUGAAACGCGGCAAUCUCUACGGGGAAGAAAGGCUAAACGGAAAAGACCAGCAAUGGGAAGCGGUCCGCUUCAACCCCGAGGUAACGGAGGGUUUCUUUUCGGGUAAGCCGCUAGCGAAGCUUCGCAAGGAGCUUUCAAGAUAGAUGGUCAUCGUUUGCUGUAAAGCAAAUACAGAACACGGCUUAUAGAAAAAGUGCUCUU